Asparagus officinalis (garden asparagus) is the source of this 1314-nucleotide long non-coding RNA. RefSeq lists it as uncharacterized. The record is from RefSeq and is a predicted model, not a curated record. The transcript is spliced from 4 exons. NCBI's taxonomy places the organism in Eukaryota, Viridiplantae, Streptophyta, Magnoliopsida, Asparagales, Asparagaceae.
UGAGGGCGAAAUCGGCACCAAAGCCCGAAUCUCUCACUCUCUUCCUUUCUUUAUCUCCACCGAAAUUACGACACCUUCCACGAGCAAGGCAGAAUAUCGAGUAUCCGACACGACCAUCCAAGAGCUAAAUCUGGGUUUCAAGUCGGACUGCUUCUUUUAGCCCUGAAGAAUGGUUCUCACUAACUUCACAGGCACCGGCGUUGGAUUCGGUUUUGGCGUGGGCUGUGGUUUUGGAGUUGGAUGGGGAUUCGGAGGGCAUCUCCCCAGAACUGAAAGUCCAAACAAUCAGCAAAACUGAAGACAUUUGAGAAGCAUAUAACAAGUUCUUGAGGAUCAACAAUUCAAUUUCGGAGAAGCAGACAAGCUGCGAUUGUCAGCUAUUUGCCCGUGAGAUAUCUAUGAACUCGACGAUCGGGAUCAAUUAGUCAUGGGUUGUGCUUGGUUGCCGAAAAGAUGAAGCAUGGCUGGAUGAAGUGUAUCCAAAUUGAAAGGGCAAAUUGACAAGCAUGAUGAGAAUGAGAUCAGGUUUUAUAUGAUGGCUGUAGUAAAGAGCAAUCUGGUAGUAUAUCAAAAUAAACUCUAUGAGAUGAAAAACAGGUGCAAUGUACUUCAUUUGGGAGAAAGAAGGAGAGAUUCCAUAUCGCAAUGAAGUUAAAUCUUGCAAGUAGGAGGUUUUGCAGAUAUAUGAUUGUAGUAAUCAACCUUUUCAAACUUCGGCAGAGAAUAACCAGUUGAAGCUUCUGAUUGAUACUUUAAGCAAAGUAUCGAAGGAGAUAUCAAAUAGCAGAAAACACAGAUGCUUUCAUUUAGAUGCCACAUUUUCUUUUCUUCAUUGCUUGUUCAAUUUUAGUAUUCAAAUCUUGUAUUAUGUGUAAGUUUUCUUUGCCUGAAAGAUUGAUCCCAUGUCUGGUUUAUGAAGUUACUAUAUUCUGAGAAUCAUAGUAAAGUUCAGAAUCGUUAGGUAUUUUUACUCCAUAAGUUUUCCAGAAUGAAUUGAGUUCUGAUGAGUUGUUUAAAUCCAUUCUGAAUUUUCCAAAAGUUUUUCAUGAAUUUUUAACUCAAUCUUUUUGAAAUCUGAUUUGGAUAAGGAUUAUCUGGAGACUUUAGAAGACUGAGAGGUUGCACGUGGUAAAAAGGAGGGAGCACGAGAGAUAGGGAUGAAGAGAAAGGAAAAUUUGCUUUUUGGUAGAUAGACCUCCUUGAGGGUAAAAAAGUCAAGAAAAUUUCACUCAGGAGUGUAUCUGCCAGUAUCAAACUUAAGGGAUAAUAAGUGGCACAACGUGGUACUAUAGAGCGUCCAUGUGCAAUUUGCCC